AUUGAACGCUGGCGGCAGGCUUAACACAUGCAAGUCGAGCGGGGUGAUGGUGCUUGCACUAUCACUUAGCGGCGGACGGGUGAGUAAUGCUUAGGAAUCUGCCUAUUAGUGGGGGACAACAUCUCGAAAGGGAUGCUAAUACCGCAUACGUCCUACGGGAGAAAGCAGGGGACCACUUGUGACCUUGCGCUAAUAGAUGAGCCUAAGUCGGAUUAGCUAGUUGGUGGGGUAAAGGCCAACCAAGGCGACGAUCUGUAGCGGGUCUGAGAGGAUGAUCCGCCACACGGGGACUGAGACACGGCCCAGACUCCUACGGGAGGCAGCAGUGGGGAAUAUUGGACAAUGGGGGGAACCCUGAUCCAGCCAUGCCGCGUGUGUGAAGAAGGCCUUAUGGUUGUAAAGCACUUUAAGCGAGGAGGAGGCUCUUUUGGUUAAUACCCAAGAUGAGUGGACGUUACUCGCAGAAUAAGCACCGGCUAACUCUGUGCCAGCCGCCGCCGUAA
This 503-nucleotide ribosomal RNA is filed under the name uncultured bacterium. Its description in RNAcentral is "partial 16S ribosomal RNA". It matches the Rfam family "Bacterial small subunit ribosomal RNA", at positions 30 to 523 of the family's 1533-position model. The record is from RNAcentral.